Molecule: long non-coding RNA, 1203 nt
Organism: Acanthochromis polyacanthus (spiny chromis)
Lineage: Eukaryota; Metazoa; Chordata; Actinopteri; Pomacentridae
Exons: 4
Source: RefSeq, a predicted model, not a curated record
ACCUGAAGAACUGCUCACAUUAGAGACACAAGUUGUUAAUUUUUUGAGCAGCAAGAACAUUGAUCUGGACAGUGAGAACAUUUCAGCCUGCCACAGCCUUCCACGUAAGGAUAAAAAUGCCAAACCAACCGUUGUUGUUCAGCUUACCAACAGAAAGUAUAAGUUUAAUUUAUUAUGACAGGCAAAAAAAUUAAAGGGCACAGGGGUGUACAUAAAUGAACAUUUGACAAAAAAAAUGCUGAAAUAGCUAGACAUAGCCGUAUGCUUAGAAAACAAAAUAAAAUUCAAGCAACAUGGAUAAGGAAUGGGAAAACAUUUAUCAAGUUAAAUGGACCACCAGAGCAGGCAAAGGUGAUUGCAGUGAGGAAUUUGAGAGACCUUGAACAAUACAAGUGAUAUAGGCGAUGGGCCGAGUACGUCUAUCUGCUUUCGUUUACGAAACAAUUGAUCCCCUGCCGGUAAUUUUCAGAUUUUUUAGUAUUGUGUAGAUAAAUUAUCAUAUAACAUAUAAGUUAAUGUUUCCAACCUCAAAAGUUGCACAUUUUCAUAAAUAACGUUGAUAUAUUCGUCACACGAGCUAAUGGAUAUGCUGCUAGCUCCAGCAACCACAAACCAAUGAGAGCUCUUGUUACUACUUCGUGGACUUCAGUUGGCCAAUCAGAUUCCUCGUACUUCUGGUAAAGCCAUAACACGACGUUAACAACUGGUUAAGGGAUGAGAGCAAACGAAGGAAAAGUAGCAUGGCUGAAUGGUACAGGUGUCUGUCUGUGGAGAAGUCAGAGACUGUCACUACACAACCAGGUUUAAUGGUGAAAUGCAGGUAUCGUGUGUAAUUUGCAAAGCAACUGUGGUGAUACAUGGCCUCUGACGCAACAAGAUAUCUUCCAUGGAUUUGAAGCAACAGGUGUUCAUCCUUCUUCCCCUCAGCAGCACGAAGGAGUUGAUCUGCUGUGGUAAACAAAGUUUAUACUCAGCAGGCAUGCAACAGGCAGGAGGUGUGGAGCCCUUUUGGGUUGUUCUGGGCCACUUGAAGAGCGCAAAACCCGAACCUUGGAUGCAGCACCAUCACUGGUAUCUGGCAGCAGUUCUUCUGAACAUUGUAAUGGCACUAAAAUGUAAGUUACAAGUGAUCAAUAAAUGGAAAUGAUCUAAAUUCACAUUGUUUCUAACAAUUGUAAAUAAAUAAAAAAAACAUACUUCUGA